GACGAACGCUGGCGGCGUGCUUAACACAUGCAAGUCGAACGGAAAGGCCUGCUUUCCCUUGUGGAUUGCGGGUACUCGAGUGGCGAACGGGUGAGUAACACGUGAGUGAUCUGCCCCCAACUUGGGUAUAAGCCUGGGAAACUGGGUCUAAUUCCCGAUAGGACUGCAGGGUGGUGCCUGUGGUGGAAAACGAUUUUCUAGUGGUUGGGGAUGAGCUCGCGGCCUAUCAGCUUGUUGGUGGGGUAAUGGCCUGCCAAGGCGGCGACGGGUAGCCGGCCUGAGAGGGUGGACGGCCAGAUUGGGACUGGGAUACGGCCCAGACUCCUACGGGAGGCAGCAGUGGGGAAUAUUGCACAAUGGGCGGAGGCCUGAUGCAGCGACGCCGCGUGGGGGAUGACGGCCUUCGGGUUGUAAACUCCUUUCGACCGCGAGGAAGCCACCUGGUUGGAAGGGUGGUGACGGUAGUGGUAGAAGAAGCACCGGCUAACUACGUG
Molecule: ribosomal RNA, 494 nt
Filed under: uncultured bacterium
Lineage: Bacteria
Description: partial 16S ribosomal RNA
Rfam family: Bacterial small subunit ribosomal RNA
Source: RNAcentral